This 380-nucleotide ribosomal RNA is filed under the name uncultured eukaryote. Its description in RNAcentral is "partial 18S ribosomal RNA". It matches the Rfam family "Eukaryotic small subunit ribosomal RNA", at positions 592 to 976 of the family's 1831-position model. The record is from RNAcentral.
CAAUAGCGUAUAUUAAAGUUGUUGCGGUUAAAAAGCUCGUAGUUGGAUUUCUGUUGGGAACGACCGGUCCGCCCAUUGGGUGUGUAUCUGGCUUGUUCUCGGCAUCUUCUUGGUGAACGUUGCUGCACUUGACUGUGUGGAGCGCUACCCAGGACUUUUACUUUGAGGAAAUUAGAGUGUUUCAAGCAGGCAUAUGCCUUGAAUACAUUAGCAUGGAAUAAUAAGAUAGGACCUCGGUUCUAUUUUGUUGGUUUCUAGAGCUGAGGUAAUGAUUAAUAGGGAUAGUUGGGGGCAUUCGUAUUUAACUGUCAGAGGUGAAAUUCUUAGAUUGACGAAAGACAAACUGCUGCGAAAGCGUCUGCCAAGGAUGUUUUCAUUGA